GGGACGGGUACCGCCCACGUACGACGAUGCGUAGGGGUUCUGAGAGGAAGGUCCCCCCACACUGGUACUGAGACACGGACCAGACUCCUACGGAAGGCAGCAG
RNAcentral lists this ribosomal RNA (103 nucleotides) under uncultured bacterium. Its description in RNAcentral is "partial 16S ribosomal RNA". It matches the Rfam family "Bacterial small subunit ribosomal RNA", at positions 250 to 354 of the family's 1533-position model. The record is from RNAcentral.